GCGCGAAAACUCCGCAAUGCGCGAAAGCGUGACGGGGCUAUCCCGAGUGCCAUCCGCUGAGGGCGGCUUUUGUUUGGUGUAAUAAGUCAAACGAAUAAGGGGAGGGCAAGCCUGGUGUCAGCCGCCGCGGUAAUACCAGCUCCCCGAGUGGUUGGGACGAUUAUUGGGUCUAAAGCGUCCGUAGCCUGUUGGAGAAGUUCUCCGUUAAAUCCAACGAUUUAAUCGUUGGGCCGCGGGGAUUACUCUCUAGCUUGGGGGCGGAGGAUGUCGACGGUAGUCCCGGGGUAGGGGCGAAAUCCUAUAAUCCCGGGAGGACCACCAGUGGCGAAGGCGGUCGACAAAUACGCGCCCGACGGUGAGGGACGAAAGCUGGGGGAGCGAACGGGAUUAGAUACCCCGGUAGUCCCAGCUGUAAACGAUGCAGGCUAGGUGUUAGGACGGCUACGGGCCGUUCUAGUGCCGCAGGGAAGCCGUUAAGUCUGCCACCUGGGAAGUACGGUCGCAAGGCUGAAACUUAAAGGAAUUGGCGGGGGAGCACCACAAGGGGUGAAGCCUGCGGUUUAAUUGG
RNAcentral lists this ribosomal RNA (568 nucleotides) under uncultured crenarchaeote. Its description in RNAcentral is "bacterial SSU rRNA". It matches the Rfam family "Archaeal small subunit ribosomal RNA", at positions 339 to 909 of the family's 1478-position model. The record is from RNAcentral. Lineage: Archaea; Thermoproteati; Thermoproteota.